UUUUUUUUUUUUGUCUUUGAUGAUGAUGCCCGACAUGAGAUUUAUCAUUCACAACUUUGUGCAGGAACUCUAUGCUUUGCCUCAGGAAAGCCAGCCAAGAAAUGGACAUAUUGGGGACGAAGCUACUAGGCAGGUUGAUUACAGAGAUCCUACUGUCGUUUAUUCUGGAGUUUGCAUUUUUAUGAAAACGAUUGCAAGUGUUCCAUACUUUAUUCUCCUGUAAAAGAUUUUGAAAGUUUUGAGUUAUUCCUGUUUGAAAAUUGGGCUGAUAUGCAAGCAGUACUUCAUGCAGUUGUUAGAUCGAGCUAAUCAUAUGUCGUCUAGUAAAAAAUAAAGAAGAAUGACGAGCUAGACCGAAUAUAUAGUUUCAGUCUGGAGAUGUUAGGAUUGAAUGUUUGGAGAUCCUAUAUUGCCACUUUCAUUUUGGUUCUUGAGUGCAAGAUUGAUUGGUCAAACAUUUUAAAUAAGGUUUCACCUGCAUGAGAUGUUCCGAAACGCAAUAUGUUCAUAAUUUGGCUUUAUCGUGUGGGCUGGUCGAUGGUCCUUUGUCAGUGAUGGUGUGCUCCUUAUUUGGUUCAUCUUUAUCUCUUAGAUGUGAGGAUACGGCCAUGGGGUAAACAUGUCGCUAUUAUGGUCUGAGAUAGAAAUAUUAAGGACUUGGCACUCGGAGAUCAUUGUGGGAUGAUUCUACAACUAUGACUAGUGUUUCCCAAUCAGCUGACGGGUAGUGUUUCCCAAGAGGUAUGCCGUAAUUGUACGUAUACAAAGCCAAUAUUGGAUUUUUAGGCACAGGGAGAGGUGUUUUCUUCCUUCUAGUUUUUACCGCCUUAUCCAAAGAGAGAGUUCUUUAUAUAUAUAUAUACAUAUAUAUAUAUAUAUAUGUAUAUGUAUAUAUACAUACAUAUAUAUGUGUGUAUAUAUACAUACAUAUAUAUAUANNNNNNNNNNNNNNNNNNNNUAUAUAUAUAUAUAUCUCGAGAAUAGGAGUAUCGAACACCUGGCAUCGAAACAUCAGCUUCCUUCGCUUCUGUUAUUUAUUUAUACCACCGAAGGAGGGGUUAGGAAAAGGAAAAAGAAAAGAGUUCCGGUGGGCGAGCGAUACGGGCGAAAGAGUCGGGCGGCCGCGACGAUGGAUUCUUCGAGCGGCGACAGCGGGCGAGGUGGAGGGACGUCGCUGCUGUCGGCGUGGAGCGCCGCCGCCUCCCGGCGGUACCAGCACCUGCUCGACAAGGCCACGCCGCACGUACUUCGGAGGUGGGCCGGGCUGGCCGUGCUGGCUCUCGUCUACGCCGCUCGCGUCUGGAUUGUCCAGGGUUUCUAUAUCGUCUCGUACGCCCUCGGCAUCUACGUCCUCAACCUCUUCAUCGCCUUCCUCUCCCCACAGGUCGAUCCCGAGAUCCAGGACCUCGUCGCCGGCCCCGGUCCCUCCCUUCCCACCCGUUCCUCUGAUGAGUUCCGCCCUUUCGUUCGCCGCCUACCCGAGUUCAAGUUUUGGUCAGUGCCGUGCACCAUUCUUUCUUGCUCCUCUUAUUUUUGAUCCUAUUUGAUCUCGCAAUCCUUUUUCUCGUGUGUCGACCUGUUAGAUUCAGAUCAAAUAUGUUAGAUCAAGUAAAAUCCUAUGCUAAGAAAGUAGAAGGCUAUAAUUGGUUGAUACGAGCUCUUGGCUUGAUCCCCUGCAUUGAUUCAGGAAAGUUAUUUGAUUUUAGCCUACCAAAGUUUUGCAAUGGAGUUGAAAUUUCUGAAGCAUGCAUGUGGUACAUACAUAAGUGUUGAAGAAAACUUUGUGAUAAGAGAUUCUAGAAGGAUUGGGACAAUCAACCAUAGAUGUUGGUGUUUCCUUUUUGUUUUUUUCUUUUCGCAGCAAAUGUUCUUUAGCAACUCCGGAAUGGCCCGAUCAAUUGUGACAUCGGUUAUCUUUUUCACAUAGGGCGUGUCUUCCUCUAGGUCAAGGUGUUUUCACAUAGGUAUAACCUUUACCUAUUUGACCGAUGGUGGAUUGGUUUUGACAAAAGACAAAAGAAUAUGCAAGAAUUGACUUUAAUUGUUAACUGAAAAUUCAUCUCAAUGCCUUUCAACAAGUUGCCUGCCUGAGCACUAGUGUUAUUGUUGAGUAGCAAUAAUGCUUAAUUGAACAGCACAGUCAUUUAUCCGCAUAAUUCAUGUGUUGGUUGACUAGGAGCUGAUUAACCAAUUAGAUUGAACUUUUUGUCUAAAUGAACAGAGAGCACUUGAUCACUUGCGACGAUUGCUAGAAACAUUGACUCUAGAAUUCUUUAUUUAAGGUAAUACUGAUAAUUAUAUGAAGCAUGAGGACCUAGGUAAUGUUACGGUUGUUUUUUUUUUCUUGUGCGAUGCGAUCAAGACUUAAGACAUAAAAACAACAUAAGACUGUGUAUAUUGUCUCUUCCCAAUUGCAUUGGUGGGGGCUUUGUACUUUGGGACCAUCCUUUAACAAUGAGACGAAGUGAAAAUGGAUCAGUAGUUAUAACAAAGGAGUGCUAUUAAGUUGCACCAGGCUAAGAUCCAAAUCUAUCCAAUAAAGGCUCACAAGUUCCAAUCCUGAAUCUGAAUCCCUCCCAUAAGAGGAUCUAAAUCAAAUCUUGAUUGCAGAAACUAUAACUAUUGGAUACCAUAUUUGGUAGCUUAGAUUUGGCUUGCUUUCCAUAUACAAUAAAUGCUAUUUGGUUUUGCUUUCCCCAAUCCAAUAUACAACCAAAGGUUAGCAAUAAAGGAACCAAACCGAUCAAAGUGCAUUGCUCAUUUGCAGUCUGUACCAUUUAUCAGUCAAACAUCUCAGAAAAUCUCGUAUAGGCAUUUUUAUAGAAAAACAAUACUUUGAUCUUUAUCAAAGACAAUUGUUUUAUGGAUUUACUCCAAAAGCAGAGUCCAAUAGUUACCAUUUACAGGUUGAGAUUCCAUACUCGAUAAAUAGCUUAAUAAAUCCUGUUCAAGAAUCCCUUACUUGAAAUCAGGUCAAAUUCAGAUUUGGACUAUCAGAUCCUCAGGGUCUUUGGCACCUGUAAAUUCAACCUUUUAUAGGCAUCAAAACUAUGAGGUGUUGGCAGUGAUAUGACAUUUACAGUAUGCUGACAUGGUUUCCUCGUGUCAUGCAGAUGCCAUCUCGUAUAAAGAUAAUAAAUGCAGCAUCUAGUAGGGUCCAAGUUGGUCCAUAAAUGAUGCACUUGGCAACACUUGGAUGACACGUCAACUUUAUGUUUGUCACCUGGCACUAUAGGAUUGGCAUGUCAGCUUACAUGAUUCCAUGCGGAUGACAGAUCAACUUGACUGCCUUGAUGUUUGUUACUCGGUACCACACAACAUGUUAGUUAGCACCAUUCUGUCGCCAUGAACAUUAGACCUUGGGCUAGGCCUUCCAAAUAGAUCAACUCCUAGGUGGGAAAGAAAACAGAGGCCAGUGUUAAAUUGCUAAACCACUGGUGAGGAAAGUGAAAAUUUCCCUUUGUAAUUAAUAUAUCAAUGCAGUAUAUUUAGAUAUUGCUUGAACUAUGUCUGUAAUAAUAUUUGCAUUCCCUGUUUUGUGAUUUAUUCUAAAUUUAUUUACAUGCUUUAAUAUGUUUGACGAGUAUUUAAGAGUGUUCAAGUUCAUCAUCCUAUAAGAUGGUAUGAAAUUCUAAAAACACAAUUUGAUAAUUUACUCGGAAAAUGAUCAGGUAAUUCCAUACAUUGAUAGUUGCUCUGAGCCUCUUGACUUCUGCCUGAGUGUAUAUGCUACCACCCAAGUGUAUAUUUGUUUUCACCCAUGGUUUACGAACCUAUUCGUUGAACAUGAUCUAUUCUGAUGAUGGAAAAAUACUCAUUUCAGGUCCCACUCUGAAAUCCCUCAUCCAACCAAAUUUUAGUGAUAUCAAUACCUUAGUGCUUUUUCUAUUUCUAUAGAUAGUCACUUCCUUUCUACUUGUCAUAAACCUAGUACCAUCGCUUACCUAGAACAAGUGUGACAAUUUUUAUUUCAACACGCUCUACUGCUAAUAACAUUUUGACGUUACAAACACAUCAUGAUGUGGCAUCAUGUCGUGCCCAUGAGUAGUAUGUGCGUGGUGGGCACAAAAUUGGUACAGCAAGUUACAAUUGUCAUAGGCAAACCAUGAUUCAGACCCACAUAACUGCAGCUAGUGUUCCUUUCCAAAGGAUGGAACAAUUGCACAUCCAGUACCUUGCUGGUUUAGUUGUGUUAUCAUGGCAGAAAAGCAUGAGUAUGGUGCAUGAUACUCAUCAUAAUGACACUGUUUUGAAGUAGUAGUUGAAUAUAUUUUUUCUAAUAUGAUCAUAUUGCUGAGAAGUUAGAUCAUUUGUCUAGACUGGUUGUGAACUAGUAGUUGUCUUUUCUUUCAUUCUUUUGCUCUUUCUUGUCGGUUUCUCUCAUGUUCUUGUUCUGAAAGAUGUAAAUGCAGUUCUUUUUAGUGUCCAUGGGUAACAUUCUUUCAGUGCAGGCAUUCCAUUACAAAAGCGUUUUGCAUUGCUUUCGUAUUGACGUUCUUCAGUGCAUUUGAUGUGCCUGUAUUUUGGCCUAUUCUGCUCUUCUACUGGUUAGUGCUGUUCACAGUCACGAUGAAGAGACAGAUUCUUCAUAUGAUUAAAUACAAAUAUGUUCCAUUCACCUUCGGAAAGCAGGUAUUUUAAUGCUUCUAAACACAGAUGAGAUAUCGUUCUCUUAAACAAGUAUCCUGAUUAAUCGUCUGAUCUCCUAUUUCAGCGUUACACUGGGAAAAAAGCAGUCUCCACCGAUGAUGCGACUCUUCCGAGCGAUUGAACUGCAUGUUUGUAUGUUAAGCUCGAAAGAAUCCCAAGUUGAAACCCUAGUUAGAACGAAGAGGUCAAAAUGGUCUAAUCAUUGUGAUCUAUAUUAUGCUAGGAGCUUUCUAUAGUUCAACCGAGUUGGAAGAACCUGAUGUUGAGUGCUCUGUUACAUGUCAAUGUGUGAGGCUUACAGAUUCCGAUGGGUCUUCUGGUCUCUUGCAUUUUGUUUUACCUGUUGAACAGCAGCUACAUUUAUCAUUCAGAAGACACCAUAUGUUUUGAUGCUCUUCGUCUUCCUACAUGUUUGUUAUUACUAGGCACAGAGACAGCAUCAACUUCGUUUCUCCAAAUCUUUACUUAGGCUAUUUGUUACCGCGUUGAAGAGUGUAUUUAUGUUCUUUCCAUAACAUCGAAUUGCGCGAGUGGAUUUCAAUCUUUUCAAUUCGGAUUCCAUUACUAUAUAAUUAAUUCAUUAAAGGAAGAAAACAAUUUAAUCUUUUAAGGAUAUUUUAGGAAAAAUAAACUUCUCCCCUUCCCAAUUGUGUGGACUUUGGACAGAAUGAACUUUCUAGAAGAAAUAACAUAGAGAAGUUCCAAGACUUUUCGUGCAGUUUGAGGGCGUCACGACCUUUCUUCGCGUUCAUCCCAUCGAUUUCCCGCAUUGUUUCCCCUCCUCCUCUUAAUACGCGUUGACUUGACUUUCGGGUCGUCGCUUCUCCCUUAUUAACGUUUCUUCCGUUAAUAAACUCCCACCUUCUCUAUCUCUUCUCGCCUCCGAUCUCAAUGUCGUCCGUCUCUGGAAUCCAAGGCCACAUCCUUGAGGUCACCGGUAACUCCGCCUGAACCUUUCCCCCUUCCUCGUUUUCGUUAAUCCUUCUUGACGAUAUGUGUAAUGAUCAUUCUCUCUAUUCGAUUUUGUUGUUGUUGUUGCUGCUGCUGCUCUGGGGGGGAAGUGGUUGGGUGCACCAAAUUGAGGGACACCGAGCUGUUCUCCCGCCAAGAUCCUUACGUCUGCCUUGAAUACGCCAAUUCCAAGUUCCGCACUCGCACCUGCACAGGUUUGUUCUUUGAUUCAUUCCCCUAAUGUUUUCUUGAUCUGAUGAUCGGAAGGCGCUUAACAAAAGCUGGAUUUGGGUUCCCAGAUGGCGGCAAGACCCCCACGUUCCAGGAGAAGUUUCAGAUACCCCUCAUCGAGGGGCUCCGUGAGAUCAGCGUGGCUGUGUGGAACAGCAACACCUUCACCGCCGACGACUUCAUCGGCAGCGCCAGGUUCCCAUCUUGUCCUCUCCCUUCAUCCUUUUCUUACUUGGUAUUUGGUCGAUUCCUCGCGCUCUCUCUCCCUCUUUCUGUUAAUCAAAUUAAGGCUUACUCGGUAAACAUGCUCAAUUUGUUCUGCUCCUAUAACCGAUCGUGAUCCGUAGCUUGUUCUUUGCUAGUCAAAUUAGGGUUUCACCAUUUAGACGAUGACAUCAAUUGGUUUUCCCUAUUUACAACCUGGCUCAUAGUUCAGCUAGAUUGGCUAUGAUCUCUGUGAAUCAAGAUACUGAAACAUGGAACUCGAUCCUUCUUGUGCCCAGGGUUCAAUUGCACAAGGUCCUCUCCCAGGGUUAUGAUGACACUUGUUGGCCACUCCAAACCAAGAAUUUCAAGUAAAGACUGUUCUCUCAAUUUUUGCUACUCUGCUAUUAGGUUAGAGCUUUCUUCCCAUCAUAUUGUUUUUGCAGAUUUGCAGGAGAGGUGAAGCUCAUCAUGCACUUCCAAAAUGCAUUAGUAAGUUCGGUUCGAUUAUUGCUUGUAAAUUCCCACUAGAGAACACAAGUAACUUCAAUUUGUUGCAUCGAUGAGCAGCACAAGACCCCCGCACAUUGUGCUCCGUCCGCCCCACCUUACAUGUCGCCGCCGCCGGUGAUCGCGGCAUAUGCCCCUCCUUAUGCUUCUCCUUACACAGCUGGAGCUUAUCCUGGAGCUGCCUCAUAUGCUUCGUAUCCCCCACCUGCGGCAGCACCGUAUCAGACUAGUGUAUAUCCAACUCCACUACCGCAACAAUUCUACGCACCCCAAUCGUAUCCUCCUCCUUCCUAUCCGCCGCAGCCCUACAUGCAGCAGUACCCCCCGUCGCCGGCACAACCUUACUAUCCACCAGGUAAGUCUCAAAAGAGGAGCAUCGAUUGAGGAGAUUCCUGAGCACAAUGUAAUUACCUGGAACUCUUUUUGCAGGGCCUUACCCGGGUUCUUAUCCUCCACCUUACUGAUUGGGAGAUUAAUGGUGCUAGUCUUGCAAUUCAUUUCUUCUUCGUGCACCUCCAAAUCAAGUGGUGGCUUCACGGUAGAUGAUUUCACAGUUAUGUUUCUCUCCUUGUUUGGUGAUUCAGCUGCGUACCUGCGGAUAAAGUUAAUACUAAUUUUUGGUGAUUCAUAUGCUUCUAUUAUUAUUAUUUUUUUUACUUUUGUCUUUGAAUUUGAAAUUUGGAAUGCAUUAAGUGCCUAUCUUACUCUUCAGUUUUAUUUGAAGCCAUGAAGGCUCUUUGGGUCAUAGCGUUUUGUUUGCAAGUGGAUUGCAACCACGAAGUCCCAUCCCUACUUCUUCUCCUCCUCUCAGUGGUUCAUCACAACCACUUGUUCCAGAACACCCCAGUCGUCUUCCUUUUGUUUAGCUCAUGGCUCUUGCAUUCACGCUGUGUCGGAGGACAAACGAGUGCAGAGCCGCAGCAGCAUCGGGCGCCGAAGCCGGAAGAGUCCGACCGGAAAAAGCCGUCGAGGACGUGGCUUUUAUCCUUAGUUUCGGAAGGUUUUGCCUUGGUGGUAUCUCUAUCCGGUAGAUUCACGCAGCCGAAGGACACUAGUCUGUCACUUUUGGCUGUGUGUUUGGGAAGACGAUGAGGUAAAUGACUCGAGUGCGUUCGAGCCCUGUGGGGGAGUCUGUGUCCAUUCUUGUCCCCUUCUGAGCGGUUCUUUUUCAUGCUCGAUUAGUAAGUACAUUAAACAUACCUCUUCGAUCUGGAGAUAAAUAAUGUCGAAUUAACAGUGCUUGUGAGAUCUGAUAUACUACCACUUGCCACUUGGUAAACCCAAACUAGUUUCUUUGGUAGAUGCUUAGCGGCGGGGAACAAUGAUUUGAUGUUGUUGCUGUUCGUGCCCGAGAUGGGUGGAAAUCAGAAAUGAAAAGAUUGCUUGUCUUAUUCUCUUGGAAACAUCCCUGUUAUACAAACUUGAUUGAGCCAAACAGAGAAUAGAUACAUGCAAAAGGCUAAAAAGUGAAAAGUAGCACAGGCACUCCGAGUACAAGGCAAUUUAACUUGCCUGGAUUCAUUUCACAUGAUGUGUAUAGCAGAUUUGCAGGUACAUCUCUUAAUAGCUUUACUAUUAUGUGCAGUCGAGUCAAGUUUUCACGUUCACCAAUCGAAUCCAGCAAACCAAAUCAAGGAUCUCUGUUCUUGGAAUCAGUGUGUGGAGUCCUCCUUCUUCAUCUCCUAGUUACUUUCUCUUCUUCCAUCCCUGUUUUAGCUCAAAUAGUGUUGGGAUCUGAAGUUACAGAUGAAGUGAAUGUUCUCUUCCAGAAGACGGUUGAAGUAAUCUGUUCAUUCACGUGCCAAUACUACCUACAGAUCGAUAGCUCAAUAGGUCCUUUUCCUGUGUCACUUUCCUGCUACACAAGAAAGAGAAAGAGGAGGAGAGAGAUGGAUUGCUGUGCUAUCACCAAAAUGAAAUGGAAAGUGGUGUAAUAAUUGUCUAUAGAAGACAAACCAAAUCUAUGGAGAAUAAUAGACUCCAGAAAGUCCCAACCUCGAUCAAAAUUGAGUUGCAUGCAAUGACAGUGACGCAGGAAUGCCAUCAAACCAAAGACAUGGAAUUUUCCCAAUCAUAGCAUCAACUUGGUCACCCAAAUCUUGGUGGCAAAAGGGCAUAUGUAUUGGAGAGAGAGAGAGAGAGAGAGAGAGAGAGAUGUGCAGAGUGGUUUUAUUACACAGAUUCUGCAAAGGAGAUAUAACCCAUAAAGAUUUGCCUGUUUUGGGGGGAAAGAAGGGUGAAAAGGUCACAACCUCAGUCCAUCUACAAUUGUAGGAAGACAAAAUUCACUUGCCUCCAAUUGAUCAUACAAAUCAAUGUAAACCCUCUGAGACAUUAUAACCUACAACAGUUGAGGCCGGGAUGCAUCAGCCACAAACAGCAAGGCCAUGAAAAGUUGUGCUGCCUCCAACCAUUGGCACCUCCCAACACUGUCCCUUUGUAUUGAAUAAUAAUCUCAUGCAUCAAAAGCUCUAUACAAAUUAAGCAUCAUAGGCUAAGCCUACCUUCCCUGCACCCAACACCAGACGGUGCUACUUCUCCCAUAAAGAUUCCCAACACUUGACCAUCGUAGUAAAUGCAUGGUCCCUUCAGCCCUCCCUCUUCGAUCUCUUUCCGCAAGAGAUGACAUAGGAAGUGGAAGAGGCCCAACAAGCACACUAGUCCUUCGAGAACGUGAGCAAAUCCUCCACAGUUAACGCUGAUCUCAUGCGGAGAGUGAGAGGCAGAACACCAGAAGACAUUACAUCCUUCCUCCUCCCUCUUGUCCUUGUUUUCCUUGGAUCCACCUUCAUCGGCUCACUAGGUUUGCCGCCCAUAUCCCGCAGGUCAAUCCCCUCUCCCAUGUCUUCUUUCCGACAGCAAGAUUCCCCUACAGCCCUUUCCCUCCCUCUCUCUCUCUCUCUCUCUCUGGCUUUUCCUUUUUUCCCUGCGGUGUUGCCUGGGAGGGAGGUUGUUUUGACUAUUCUUUCUGUGUCUGUGACUUGGUUCCAGGUUAAAGCUUUGAGGCUGCUUCAGGCAGUGGAUGCCCUCUCGAUGAGCUGUGGUCUUAUUUUAUAGCUUCCAACAGGCUAAUCCAAUCCCCUCCUUUUGUUUGCUCUCUUCCCCAUGACCUAUCUCACCUCAGAGUCACAUGCAUUGUUCCCAGCUGAAGCUCCAGUCCAGUUUUUUUCUUCCUCUCUUGGCUUAUAGCUCAAGGUUUUUUGAGGCCACCCUCCCCCUGCAGACAUACGUUCCAGGGGUUCGUUCACAUCACAUCCCUCUUCUUCUUCUUCUUCUUGUAGCAGCCACUGAGACAUGAGUUGCUCCAAAGCAUCACCAACAUGAGCUCACAAGGGAGUAGGCUGCAGAGCAAAUGGCAGGCUACUACUAGAUCUCUUCCACCGCUGCUGACGCUUCUUGUCCUGGUAAGCCCAGUGCUGGCCCUCGGCCAAGAUGGAGUGCUGCUGCUCAAGUUCAAGUCCUCCAUCCUCAGCGACCCCCUCGCCGUGCUCCGCGACUGGAACUACUACGACGCCACGCCGUGCUCGUGGAAUGGAGUCGUGUGCAUGGGUUUCCCGGACGCAGCCGCUAUCACCUGGACUCCUCCUCCUCCUCCUCCUGCUGCUAAUACUGGAGGCGGUGGCAAUGUUCAGGUCCCCACGGCUUCCAGAGUGAUCGGCUUGGUCCUGCCCAACUCUCGGCUCUUGGGCUCCGUCCCCCCCGAGCUCGGCCUCCUCGAACACCUUCGCCACCUCGACCUCUCCGGCAACAUGCUCAACGGCACCCUCCCGCCCUCCCUCUUUGACGCUUCCGAGCUUCGCGUGCUCUCGCUGGCCAACAACGCCAUCUCCGGAGAGCUCCCGGAGCUCGACGGGCGCAUGAGCAGCAGUUUGCAGGUGCUCAACCUCUCCGACAACGCAUUGAUCGGCAGGUUGCCGGCGAACCUUUCUCGGCUGCCGAACCUCACAGUUGUGUCCCUCGCCAAUAACUACCUGUACGGACAACUUCGCGGCGGCGGGUUCUUGCGGCUCCAGUACUUGGAUCUCAGCUCCAACCUCGUCAAUGGCUCCUUGCCGACGGAUCUCGGUGGGCCGAGGCUCCGGUACUUGAACCUGUCAUACAACCGCCUCACCGGCGCAAUCCCGCUGGAGCUGGGGGCGACGAUUCCGGCCAACGCCACGGUGGAUCUGUCGUUCAACAAUCUCACCGGAGAGAUCCCGCAUGGCGGCGCUUUCGCCGCGGAGAAGCCGAUGGCGUUCGUGGGGAACCCGAGUCUAUGCGGGAGGCCGCUCAGAAACCCGUGCGCCAUCCCCUCCAUUCCCUCCACCGUCUCCGACCAUCCUAAUUCUUCCGUCGCGGCUCCGCAGAAGGGCAAGUCUCCCCCAGCCUUCGCGGCGAUACCCAAGAACACGGACGGGACCUCGCCUGCCGGUGGCGGGCAAAGCUCGGCAGGGCGAGGGACCCUCCGGCCGUUUGCUGUGAUCGCGAUCACGGUCGGGGAUUUGGCCGGCGUUGGGAUCCUUUUCGUAGUGUUCUUGUAUCUAUACCAUGUGAAGAAGAAGAAGAAGACGCAAGAGCAGCGGCAGCAGAAAGAAGUUGGAGGCGUAGGGCUGAAGAAUGAGCCGCCGCCAACAGCAACAACGGCAUCCCCUGAAUCCAAAACCAUAGGGCUGUUGUCUUGCUGUUUGAGAAAGAAAGGCGGCGGCGACGGAGGUGACACCGAGGAGACAUCGGAGACUUCGGGAUCCUCCGAGACGGAGGGAGAACUGGAAGAAGCGCCAAAGGGAGAAAAGGACGGUGAGGACGGUAGAUCCCACUCGCAGCAGAAGCUACAAGGGGCUACUCUUGUCAUGGUCGACGGCGAGACAGAGCUGGAAAUCGAGACAUUGCUCAAAGCCUCGGCUUAUAUACUCGGCGCCAGUGCGUCCAGCAUCGUCUACAAGGCGGUGCUCGCCGACGGCACCGCCUUGGCCGUCCGCCGCAUUGGGGAGGGCAGCGUCAUCGGCAAGUUAAAGGAUUUUGGUGCUCAGGUCCGCAGCCUUGCCAAAUUCCGCCACCCGAACCUCCUCCGCCUCCGGGGAUUCUCCUGGGGCGCCGACGAGAAGCUUCUCAUUCACGACUAUGCCCCCAACGGUAGCCUCGCCAACAUCUCUCUCAGCAGUAUGUCUCUGUCUUCUUUUGCCGUCUCUUUUCUACGAUGAAGUUUGCUUCAUGAAUCAGUGGAUUGAGUCCUGUGUACUUGCCCGAGUGUUUACAGAGAAGCUCGGCUCGUCGCCGUUGCAUCUGAGCUGGGAGGCACGACUCAGAAUAGCGAGAGGCGUGGCGAGGGGGCUCGCCUACAUCCACGAGAAGAAGUGCUCGCAUGGCAAUCUCAAACCGAGCAACAUUUUAUUGGAUUCAGACAUGGAGCCAAAGAUCGGAGAUUUCGGCCUGGACAGGGUAAUGUUGGGCGCGGGCGCGUCGGCCCGGCAAUUCGGGAGUAAGCGGUCGAUGCACUCUUCGAUCAGCUUGCCAGAUCUGUCCUCGGUCGCCGGAGCUAGUCCUUCCGCCGCAAGCGGCUCCUCCUCCUCGGCACUCGCACCUCCGCCGUAUCAGGCGCCGGAGUCCCUGAAGAACCUGAAGCCCAGCGCCAAGUGGGACGUUUACUCGUUCGGGAUGGUGUUGCUGGAGCUGGUUGCCGGAAGAGUGUUCUCGGAGGUGGAGCUCUGUCACUGGAACGCAGGGCUUGUGGUGGAGGAGAGGAACAGGCUUCUGAGGAUGGCCGACGCGGCGAUAAGAGGGGAGGUGGAAGGCAAGGAGGAGGCUCUGCUGUGCUGCAUCAAGCUGGGGUUCGCUUGCUGUGCCAUGGCACCUCAGAGGCGGCCCUCCAUGAAGGAGGCAGUCCAAGUGCUGGACAACAUCUCUCCGCUUCCGCUUCCGCAUCCACAGUCUGCCAACGUUCUGCUGUCGAAUCAUAGCAAAUGCAAUCCGUGAUGCCAUUGACCUUUCGACUGCAACACACACUGAUUUGUUCCUCUUUGAUGUGUUCAAUAUAUGAGUCGUUCUUCUUGUUUUCCUUAGUGUGAGUUGACGACCAGCCUUCCGUUUUGGUUGUGACUAAAUGAUUAGAUUGUGGUCACUCUGCACUGCUUUGUAUCGAUUAGGCAGCGAAGUAGAACUCAGAGUUCUUCCAUGUUUCCCAGAUUCGAGUCUGCAUAGUUACUGCCAAAUGCAGAUACACCACCAUCUUGCUUCACCGUGAAAAGAGAAGCUCAAUUCCCAUUCUUUUUUAUAGAGAUAUAUGACAAACUUUAAGGACUCGAAUUAGAUUUCUUUGCUCUUUCUUUUCGUUUAAGAUCCGUAGUCAAGGGAAGAACAGCUGCUCAAAGUCAUCCAUGCAACAGAGGAAAGAGCAAAAGAAGACAUAAAGAGGAUGGAACUCUUUCCAAUGUCAACAAGCUUUCUCAAGGUACAGUAUACUGACUAGAGCACCGCAUCAGUGACCGCUCAGAGCAAAGAAGCUAAGCAUCGCCAUCAAGAGACAGAGAGCAGCAUUGGCAACAUUUGCAGGCUGGCCACUCGGAGGAUGUUGAGUCGUCGGUGAAGUGACCGGCGCCUUCUCGACGAGAUCUGCCACCGGGGGCAGCGGCGGAUCCACAACGUCAGCGACCUCCAGAACUGGCGCAGGGGCUUCCGCCGGAGGCGCCGCGUCUGGUGAUGCCAGCGACAGCAAAGUACCGGGCUCUGCUGGUAAGAUCGAGUACGGUAGGUUGGCAUUCAAGUCAGAGCAUGGGCUCUCUGCAACAUCAAAAGGGCAUAUCCCAAGCACCAAAUCUUAGAUUGCCAAGACAGCAGCAAGAUUUCUCCUUGUCAGCUAAAUCGAAGUAAAAGAAGAUACUCACUGAGGUAUGCAGCUGCCGUGGCUGGGAACUCGGUCACGACGCCGUCAACUCCGACACCUGCAACGUACGUAGCAAGCUCCACCAUCGGGUCGGAGAAGUAAUCAAACGCUAUGGUCAAGAACUCGUUCCUCAGCACCGAGACGUAAACCGAUAUGUUAGCUGCGUGCAUCUGGUCAACCACGUUGGUGAAGGCGGAGACGAAGAAGCCCGACGCGGCGACGAUGGACGAUCUAGGAAGGUUGACCGCGUCAGCGAACUGCUUGAUCUCCUCCACUGUUGGCUUUGGAGCGUCGCUUAUCGUCUCCUUGACGUGGAGCACUCGCUGGUAUCCAGAAUUCUUCUUGAAUGCAGAGAGGACCGCGGUGUCGUCGGACUGGAUGUACACUUGCUUGUCGUAACUGGCAUUCCUCAACGCGGUGGAGACUGCGUCUACCGCCCCAAGUCCUUUCUUCGAAGCAAGGUAAGCUGCGUUCUGCAGGAUCAAGAUGACGAUGAGUGAAUGGAUGACUCGAACAAUCCAGAUCUGUGCAGUAUUCCAAAAAGAUGACCACCUCUAUGUUGAUCAAGAUUCCAGAGACGGUGCUCUUCUUCGCAAACUGCAAGAAGUCAGCCAGCGUCAUGAACUUGCCCUCACUUUUCGCUGCAGGAUUUCUUGCCAAGCCGGACUGAGACAUGGGGCUCGUCAAUGCCGCUACAGGAAGAUAACCAAAACCAUGGGAUCGACAUUCUCGGAAUUAGAUUUCUAAUGGUGAACAGAGUAAGGUUGCUUACGCUUCAAGCUUUGGAUCUCGCUCCAUGUGAGAUCAAAGGAGAAGAUUCCAUUGUUUUGCUGUAUCUCGGGAACCAUUGCCGCUCGCGGCAUGAACGCAGCAGCUGCGGUUGUGUCGCCCAUAAGAUCUGCCGAAUCCAAGCAAAAGGCAACUCCAUCCUUUGACAUCUGAAUCGAACAGUCAAGAACAUCAGCUCCAUCUUCCACUGCUCGUUGAUACGCGACAUCAGUGCAUCCAGCAAACAUUCCACUCGCACCAUUGUGUGUUAUGAUUAGUGGUCUCCCUGCUGCAUCAAGAUCAAAACAAGUAAAUGACUAGAAUUCUGUGAUCGUAAAUUGCCUUAUAAUUAACUAUGUUUACCUUCGGUAGGGAUAGGUUUAUUCUCGUUAUGUGCCAAGCAAGCUGCAGCAUGCAAACGAGACAGAGAUAGUAAGCAGUCUACAUCGACGGAGAAGCCAUCGACGGACGAGGAGGAUAUUGGUUACCUACGGCUUCUGAGGCCGUGGAAGGGAAGUCGGUAAGCACGCCAUCGACAGAGAAGUUGGAGUUGCUAAUAAACUGCAGGUACUCCACGGUGGGAUCAUAGCUGUAGUUGUAGCUCGCAGGGGCAUCAUUGGCGAAGUCAUAAGCGUAGACUUCCAAACCCACACCAUGAGCAUCUGUGACCAAAGAAGUGUGAGCCUCCAGAUACUGGUCUUUGUUGACAGGCCAUAUGUAGCUUUUGGGCACGAGAAUCCCAGAGGCAAAUGACUUGAUGGUGACAAGAUCGUUUAGGAGAGCUUGGUAUGUUUUCUUCGUGGAGGGCUCGACAUCAUCCACUUCCAUGAACCGGAAGAUGAGCUUCGUCUUGUGUCUCCCCGGCAAUCCGCUCAGACUCUUCAGGAACCCUAUUUCUGGAGAAGAGAUGCAAUCUAUGAUCGUUUCCCUUGAUACUGAUCUAAUGUAGUCCACUGCGUCCAAGUCAUGUUCCUUGAAGAAGGUGCUGUACUGCAUGCAGCAGAUUGGAAAGGAGUUAAUGUCGGUAACGCACAAGUAGCUGAUGAAGAACCAGAAAUGCUGUUCAUCGAGAUCAUGUACCUGCACAUUUACCCAAAGCUGGUAAGGGUGAAGCCCCGCUACAUCUUCCACCAUGGAUACCGGCAGAUUGCCAUCGAACACGCUUGGUCGAGAAAAGAUACUUUGGAUCACUUCAAAGCAAGAGUGGAGAAGAAACAUUAGAUGAUCCAGUCAGAUGAAUAGAUGGUGCAGUGCUGCACUUGAAGAACUGGUGUACUCACAUGUGACGUUGUUAUAUAGUUGAUCCGAGGUGAAAUCAAUGGAGAACCAUCCUUGAACAGGCCGCCCAUUCACAGAAUAAGUAGUUCUUCCUUUUGGGAAGACAGCUGAGAUGGUUGUGGAAUUAUCGAGUCUCAGAUCCGAGUGGCAGAUGCCAGCCCCAUCUUUGGUUAAUUGGAGAUCACAGUACAAAACGACGUUCUUCAAGCUUGUUGACUGUGCAAACUGGUACGCAAAUUGGCUUGAUUCGGGGAAGAGUCCGGAGAAGCCACCGCGUGCUAUGACUGCAGGAGCAUUACCUGCGACAUGGACAGGAAGAAGAACACAUUCUUUACACCUUGCAGCCUCUUAGUAUGGCCUAUUACGACCCUGAGAUGGAAGGAAGCCAUGAUCGUACCGCUCAAGGUCUGCCAUUUCGUGGGAGAAACCACAGCUGCUGCAGCUCCAUGGAGAAGCACGAUAAACAGAAGCACAUUCAGCUUCAUUCCUCCAGUUCCAGAGACGAAGUCCUGCAACUCAUACAACAAGAUCGCUGUAGGACGAAACUUGCUUUGUUCAUGCAGAUAUGGCAUCGGUAAUAAAUAAUCCAGAAAACCAACCUUGGGACUCGAAGAUUCUUUUGGUGAGCACCCAAAAUGGAGGCAAGGUUUCCUGGCUCCCAGGAAACCCACCACCUCCAGGAAAACAGAGAGGAUGUUAGAACAACGAUCCUACUCGUGCAUCAGAACACAUCAACGAAUUUAUUUGUUGGAAUGUGUGAGGAAAAGAAAAGGUAAUGGACGAGCUUAAAUUUCUCCCCGUCUUUCCCUCUCUCUUCUCUUGGAAAGGCACUUGUCCUCUGUUAGGCAUCCGCCAUCCUAUAAGCUCUCGCCCUCGCUUUUUGUGGAAGGCGUGGUGGUUUGACCUGGUCAACAUCUUAUGCUGAUGAUGAUGCUAACCAUGUAACGGUAUCUCCGUUCAAAGGAUGACUCGACCAUGCCGUGUAGCAGAAUCAUUAUUAUUAUUAUUAUUAUUAUUAUUAUUAAAGAACACGUGGCAUGGUUAACGACCGAUAGAUCCACGAGCCCAAGAAACAGAAGAGCGUCGGCUCGAUCGCAUUCAAGUUGUAUAUAUAUCAUCUCGAAGCUUCGCGAUACCCAAACCGUUCCCUUGCUGUUCUUUUAGCUCUCCAUCAUCUCUCCUCACUCGGAGCCGUCGACGUCCUCCGCCCUGUCGUCUUUCACCCCAAACCUAAUCUCUGGGUGCCGCCGCUGGCGAUAAUCUCAAGAGGUUGGAUCUUGUUCCAUAUUUCUUCUGCCUCCGGUAAUCUGGUUAUCAGUUCUUAGGUAUAGUCUUCUUGGCCGGUAGGGUAACUACGGUGGUUUGUUCUGUCCUUUUCUCGUUCUUUGGUUAAGGCUAAUGUUCUUUCUUGCGACAUGAUGCAUCCGAAGGCAGUAUUUGAUUUCGUUUGUUUGGUCUUUUGCGAUGUCAAUCGUCUGGCUUCUGGUAGUCUUGAUCUUUCUAGCACCCAUGUUUUAAUGGACGCCUUAAGGAAAAUUUCUUGUAGGGUUUGUACUUGCAAGAAUCUUGAUCUUGAUGCUCAGAAGGGAUCCUCAAACUCUAAUUGCUAUUGUGUCUUCGCCAUAAGUCGUGUUUGGUUUCUUGAUGUGUGUAUAUGUACAUGCAUCACGAUAAAUGAUCCCUCCCUUUUACCCUAUUUUAAGGUUGAUAACUUUUGUAUAGUGUAUGGCAAAAGAAUUUAGAUCUUCAAGUUUGGAAUUGAAGUCUAUAAUACAUUUCUUGUUUUGCAUCUAUUUUUUUAUCACAUUAUACGAUUGGUUCACAGUUAGGCCUAUAUUGAUGGAUUUAAAAAUAUGCUCAAAUGUUUUGUGCGUAGUCAGUCUUUUGAAAAGACGAUUGACAUCUCAAGAGGUCGGAUCUUGUUCCAUAUUUCUUCUGCCUCUGGUAAUCUGGUUAUGGGUAGAGUCUUCUAGGCGGUAGGGUAACUGCGGUGGUUUGUUCUGUUCUUUUCUCGUUCUAUGGUUAAGGCUAAUGUUCUUUUUUGCGACAUGAUGCAUCCGAAGGCAGUAUUUGAUUUCGCUUGUUUGGUCCUUCGCGAUGUCAAUCGUCUUUGUCCUCUCGUAAUCUUGAUCUUUGUAGCCCACACGUUUUAGUGGACGCCUUAAGGAAAAUUUCUUGUAGGGUUUGUACUUGCAAGAAUCUUGAUCUUGAUGCUCAGAAGGGAUCCUCAAACUCUAAUUGCUGUUGUGUCUUUGCCAUAACUCAUGUUUGGUUUCUUGAUGUGUGUGUGUACAUGCAUCACGAUCAUUGAUCCUUCCCUUUUACCCUAUUUUAAGGUUGAUAAAUUUUGUAUAGUGUAUGGUAAAAGAACUCAGAUCUUCAAGUUUGGAACACAAGUCUAUAAUUGGUUCAUUGGCAUCUAAUUCUUAUCACAUUAUAUGAUCGGUUCAUUGGCAUGUGUAUGUGUUAAUAGUCACAGUUAGGGCUAUCAUGAUAGAUUUAAAAAUAUGCUCAAAUGUUUUGUGCGUAGUCAGUCUUUUGAAAAGACGAUUGACAUGUCAAGAGGUCAGAUAUUGUUCACUAUUUCUUUUCCCUCUGGUAAUCUGGUUUUGAGGUCUUGGGUAGCAUCUUCGUGAAACGUAGGGUAACCGGCGGUGGUGUGUUAUGUCCUUUUCUCGUUCUUACUUGAUUUCAGUUUAUUUGGGUCGUUCACGAUGUCAGUCGUCUUUUGUCCUCUGGUAAUCUUGAUCUUUCUAACCCCCACGUUUUAAUGGAUGACUUAAGGAAAAUUCUUGGCAAACACAUGUUUGCUUCAACGUAGGAUUUGUACUUGCAAGAAUCUUGAGCUUGAUGAUCAGAAGGGAUCCUCAAAUUCUAAUUGCUAUUGUGUCUUUUCCAGAAGUCUAUGUUUGGUUUCUUGAUGUCUGUGUAUAUAUGCACAUGCAUAUACACAUAUGGUGGUCACGAUCAUUAAUCCCUCCCUUUUACCUUAUUUUAAGGUUGAUAAAUUUUGUAUAGUGUAUAGUAUAAGGACUUCGAUGUUCGAGAUUGGAAUACAAGUCUAUAACACAUUUCUUGUUUUGCAUCUAAUUUUUAUCACAUUAUAUGAUUUGUUCAAUGACAUGUUCAUGUAUAGAUACCCUCAUAUAGGCCUAUAAUGAUGGAUAUAAAAAAAUAUGCUCACUUGAUUUGUGCACAGUCGGUCUCUUGUUCAAGGAAAAUAUUAUGGAAUAAUGGAAGUCCAGAAUCUUUUAGACCACAUAUUGAUACAGGAUGUUUUGGAUCUAUUGACUUUGGUCGUUUUGGAUAAAAUCAUAGAGUUAAUUAUUUUAUUGUGACUUGGUAGUUUAAUUCUACUUUGAGAUUUAAGCUCUUGGUUAUGCCACCCUGCAUGGGAAAUUUGUCUUUAUAAAAAUGUUUGCCUUCUUCUUCUAAGUGUAUGCCAUUUCUCUAAGUCUUUAAAAUACAAAAGCCAGAAAACUGAAAACGUAGAAAAUGCUUUCCAACAUUGAAUUAAUUUUAAGAAAAACAAAGUAAGAACAAUUAUAUACACUGAUAACUUUGUCAUUUAAGAUUUUGCAUGACUUUGAAUGAACCAGCGUACGGUUGGUACUGAUUGUAAUAGGAGUGUCUUGAUUUUGAUUCUUGAGGCUUCAACUGGUGGAAUGUAGACAAUUGUCUUCUGCAUAUAAAUUUCCCAUUCCACUUGUGAGACAUCCAAAAAAGUUGUUCUUGUAAAUUAAUUUUCAAAAGGACAAAUUCUAUGAAAUAUACAAUUACGUUGAUAUCUUUAACUGAACCCAUAUUAUAUGAUUAUAUAACUGCUGUAAUUUGUCCAUGCUGUAUAUGCAUUUAACUUACUAUUUUUUGUGUGAAGCCUUCAACUGGAAUAUAGACAAUGUCUUUGCACAUAAAUUUCCUAUCCUGCUUGUGAGACCUAUAUAUAAUGUUUUUUUGUAAGUUAAUUGCCAAAAUGGCAACUUCUAUGAAAUAAUCAAAAAAACAUAUUUUAUGCUUAUGUAACUGCUCUGUAAUUAAUUCUCAUUGUGUGAAGCCUUAUAAACUUAGCAAGUUUAGUACUCCGUAUGCAAUUAACAUACUAUAUUUGGCUCAUUGUUGCCUAAAAGUUGUGAUACUUUAUUUGUCUGUACUGGAUUGAGGAAAAUUAUUUACUGGCAGAAGCUUGUAUCAUUCUACCUUAUUUACAUAGAUAGUCAACAAGGGUUCCAUGUUGCCUUUCGCAUAGCCUCACCUCUGAGAUAGGUGAUUUGUUUUGAAAGUAUGGCUUGAUAUGUUUUGUUUGCCUCAAUGCAUGUAGGAACACCAUUGAUUUGUAUUAGUAACGGCAUUUAGCUUCUAUGUGAUGCUAGAGAAUUCAUCUACUUGGUGAAUAACAGUGAAAACAAAAUAAGAAGGCACAGGAUUUUUACAUUUUAAACUGGUUGAAUGGAGGCUGCUCUCCAACUUGCUAAGUUCUAUUAGAUAAUUUUUUUGUACAGAAAGACAUUAUGCAUUCGCAAUGAUUGUACUUAGUUAUUGCGUAGUUUCUGACCCUAUAAGUUUGGACAAGUGUAAAGAAGGGAGGGAGAACUGUAUAUCUUUUGAAUGCCCGGAAAAAUUAGACUUAAAAGACAAUUGGAGUUUGGAAACAUGUAGCACAAUUUGUUUUUUGUCCUAAUGAUUAUCAAAAUAGACAAAAGAAUAUAUUCAAGUCAAGCAUUCAUGUAUUGCGAUGACAUUGUUCAAUAGUGUUGAUUAUUAUGUUGACUGUUUUUGCUCAACACUCAACUAAUAAAAUAUUACUUGAGGAAAAAUAUUUGCUCAACACUCAGCUUUUGUAUAUAUUACACGAGGAAAAAUAUUAGCUCAAUAGAAUAGCAGCAUUACUGUAUGCUGCUAUCCACUCAAUAGAAUAGCUCAAUAGAAUAGUAGCAGCUUAAUAGAAUUGUACGUACGUUGGGGUUAAUCCCUAGGACACCACCAGAUUAAUUUUUAGUUAUCCCGUCGCCUUAGAAAAGUCUCUGGUGACUUUGUUCUAGGUGUUUUAUAGACAGCUCUAGGGCAGUACUUGUCUUUCCUCUUAUGCAUGUUUUGGUUUCAUAAAUCACUGACAUAUGGAAGAAUAGCAUUUCCACUUCUUUUCUUCUAUGUCAAAACCUAACUAGUAUUUUUUGGCUGACAUUUCGAGGGGAGGUGAGGGGGACGAGGGGAUUGGGCAGUGGCGGGGGAGGCAAGGGGAAAGGGUGAGAGAGGGGAGGGGGACAGGUAUAAUAUCCCUCACUUCUGAAAUUUAUUUAUAAAAUUUUUAAUGAUUAAACUGUUAAAUUAUAAAAAAAUUAAAAAUUAUGAUUUUAUCCCAUCACCUCUCUGUUUACUCGUGCGCAUCUCUGUUUCCUGCACGAGAAAACAGAGGAGGAGGUGUGCGGUGUCAGGGAGGAGAAGAAGGGAAAAAGAGGAGAAGAGAAGAAAAGAAGAAGAAGAGAGGGAAGAGGGAGAGGAGAGAGAGGUGCUGCAGGCCAGGGUAGACGGAGAGGAGAGAGAGGUGUCUGCAGCUAGGGCUGCAGCACCUCUGUUUCCCGCAAGAAGAAACAUAGGAGAGGAUAUGUGGGGAGGAGAAUGGAAGAAGAAGAAGAAGGUGGCUGCAACACCUUUGCAUCCCGCAGGAGGAAACAGAGGAGAGGAGACGUUGUGCGUCGGGGAGGAGAAGAAGAGAAGGGAAAGAAGAGGCUGCAGCUGCAGCAAUAGCAGCCGGAAGAGAAGGAGAGGAAGAAAAGAAUGUGAGGAAGAAGAGAGGAAGAGGAGCUGUGGUUGCGGCUAGGAAAGAAGAAGAAAAAGGAAAGAAGGUAGUUGCGAUUGCGGCAGUUGGGAAAGAAGAGAAGGAAAGGAAGAAGAAGAGAGAGAAGAGAGGGAAGAAGAGGAAGAGGGGAAGGUGGCUGCGGAGAGGAUAGGUGCUGAAAAUGAAACAGGGAGAGGAGACUGAAAAAGAAGAUAGGUGCUGAAAAUGAAACAGGGAGAGGAGAUGGAGGAAAAAGAAGAUAGGUGCAGAAAAUGAAAGAAGAUGGGGCUUACACCUUCGGAUCAAAAUCUUCGAAAGGCAAGUGUUCUGAUCUUUCAUAUUGCAAGUGUUCUGAUCUUUCAUAUUGAAAGUGUUUCGAUCUUUGCUCCUGCAAGUGUCCUAAACCUUUCUCUACUAUGAUUUUAUCUCUGCUUUUGUCUUGAAUAUGAAAACUUUGAAUUGUUCUAGUCUUGUAUUUGGUACAUCUCUUGUUUAAACGUAACGAUUUGAAUUUGAAAAUUUUUGAGAUUCUGACCCUUCCACCUUUGUAGCUAUAAAUCCCUGUAUAAAUUUUCAAUUUCAAUAAAACUAGUUUGAUAUGAAUAACCUUUCUUUUGAUAGCUUAUUUGAAGGAUUUUGAGUAAAUUUGUCUGUCCAAACUUCUGUUUCAAUUAACCUUAUAGAUUAUAUAAAACAAGGAUCAUAGCUUCUGACCUUUCGAUACUGAUAGGGCAUAUUUUGGUAAACAAGGAUUAUUUUGCUAUUCACGACCACAUCAGCAUUAGGGUCAUCACGUCGGAUUGCACCCCUCGGUCAAUGUCGAUUCCGCAAAGGUCGGACGAUGCAAAUCGAGUAUCAUGCCAUCCCGUAGGAGUCGGGAUAGCCGCGACCGAGUACAGCGUCGUCCCAUAAAGAUCGGAUCGGCGCUGACCAAGUAUAGCAUCGUUCCGCGAAGGUCGGGACGACGUCAACCGAGUACAACAUCGUUUUGUGAAGGUCGGGACGACGCCGACCAAGUAUGACGUCAGACAAUCAUAAAUAUGAUAGGUACGGUUGGUCCAACGAGGGAAGGAUAAAAACCCCUCGUGGGGGCGACAAUAGAGGUGGUUGAUUUUCCACUCAAUUCUAACAAGAUCUUCAGAGGGGUCAAAAUCGGGAGCCGCCUUCCCGACCCCGACCUGUGUGCAGGGUUCGUUGACAAAAAGGAGGCGGUCAGCCAAAGGGUGUUUCUCGACUUCGAAGCCAGAGCCCAAGCCUGACCUCACCAAAGCACGAUCGCCAUCAACUGAAUGCCGACGUGGACAAUCCUACGCAUUCGAGACUAAACCAAGCCAUGCUGACUCCAUCUCCCAUGGUGUGAGGGAUCCUUAUUAGAUACUAAAUUACCUAUAAGUCCCUAUAGGAAACUCUGAUUUGUUCAAAACUUAUUUCAUUAGAAAUCAGACUCAAUAGAUCCUUUUUUUGAUACCUAGAUCGAAAGAUUUGAAGUCCAAAUAUCUACCCAGUUUUCUAUUGAAAUAUCUUUAUAAUAUAUUUUCAAGUAAAUUGGAGCAUAAUUUUAAAUAAAUUGAAUUCUUGGAUGUUCUUGUUUUGCAUGUUUUUAUUUUCUUUUAAAUUUGAAUGCAUUUGUGAAAGGCACAUGUACGUUUCGUUAUACUGCAUGUGCCAAUUUAUUAUUUAUAAUGCCCUUUUGUACUCUGGUGUUUGUGGGAGUAUCUGGAUCUUUGUUAGAAAUGGUAAAAGGAUUAUGCCUAGAGCCUGCGAUGUUUUGUCGAUGGUCAUCUAGAAAUGGAUGAAUUAUAUUUUGUCUUUAAUCCCACUACACCUUCUAUAUGUGAAUGCAAAUAUGACGUUUAAACUUUUGUUUCGUAUUUGUUCUUUGAUAUGCUUCGAAAUAGUUCAUAUGUCGUUGAUAUGCUCUGAAAUAUUUCAUAUUCUAUUAAUAUGUUCUGAAAACACUCUGUGCUUCAUUUGUAUUCUGCCUUGCAUUAUGAUACCUAGUUUGUUUGAAACUAUCUCUUUUCAUUUUGGAUAUGUUUAAUCACUUACUGAGCGUUUUAACUCACUCUGUUGUUAUAUAAAUCUUUUAGGUCAACUUGUCGAGAUGUUUGUACAAGGUUGAGGUAGUGGAGAGCUAUUCAAAAUUCUGGGCAAACCUUAUUAUGUAAAAGUGUUAAAAGAUCUCUCUCGUUUAGAAUUUCGAAAUGUUAAGUUUAAUUUACGAUGAUAUGAACUUGAGAUAAAUAGUUGAAGUUCUGAUUGUAUAAACUAUACAGGUUUUAUGGAUGUGAAGUUGAUUGAAUGUUUCUCAAUGUCUCCAAAUGUUAGAGAGGAUGAGGGUAAGGGGAGGGGAGGCAAAUGAUUGUAUAAACUAUACAGGUUUUAUGGAUCUCAUUCCUUCUCACACUGACUCCUUCCGCUCUUUCCCCUAGUCGUUGUCCCUCUUCUUCUGUCCCCUUACCUCACUCCCUCCAUCCUUCUCCUCUCCCUUGCCCUCACUCCCUUCGUACCCCUCGCCUCACACCCCCACUCCUUCUCUCAUCGCCCACCCUCUCACCUUAACCCUGCUCCCUCCCCUAGCCUCUGUCCCUUUUCUUCCGUCCUCUCGCCUCGUUCCCCCNNNNNNNNNNNNNNNNNNNNAUGCCCCCCCACCCUCUGCCCCCACUCCCUAAAUCCCCCUAACCUCUCUCCCUCUCCCCCUAACCUUUAAAGAUUAAAAUGCACUUAUAGGUUCCAAAAGAGCCCAAAAUUCUUGUGCAUUUUUAUCUCCUUUUUACAUUCAAUCAAAACUACUCAUUAGUUGGGAUGGCCUUUCAAAUUAUAACAUCAUAAUCUCUAUCAUCAUAGUCUCUAUUAUGCCAAUGACACAAAAAAACUAAUAUGACUUCAGAAACACAUUUUGUCAUCAUAAUAUCACUUGGACCAAAAAUUCAUAUCAGGGUUCUCCAAAGAGCUGAAGAGCUUAAUGGGAUUGGAGAUUGAAGGCCUCAUCCCACCCUUCACCAUUUGUGCUACAAGCACAAAACAGAAAAUCUAACGAAAAAUUACCACUCCAAAACUCUCAGAGAAGCUAAUCUGUUACUUCACAUCUCUAAUGGUCAAGGAAUUCAUGGAGUUGGACAUGACAGGUUGGGUUUUCUUUAUCCACAACAUGCAAGCAUAUGGAGACAUAUGCAGGCAGUCAAAAGAAAGAAAAACGGUCAAAAAAAGAGAGGAAAAGCUAGAUAAGGUAAAAUGUGAUGAUAAGCUGUAACUGAAAAUUAUAGCUGUACUACCAGAUAACCUUCACACUUUAUAAUUUUGCAUGUCACAAGUAAAAUAAAGAUAUCAGUUUGAUGUACAGUUCGAUCAUUCCUGACACAUGUAACUAUUGGACAGAAACCUGUAUCAAUUCCAAAAUAAUCACCACAGGUACAUGAUCUAAUAAUUGGUUAUACAACAACAGUCAGGAAUGCAUAAAAUUGAUGCUUUGCCAACAGCACAUACAUCAUAUUAAUAAUCCAAAGAUUUAAUUGAUAAGACAAAAUUAUAUUUAGUUUAAUCAUCCAAAUUUCAGCACACAUUUUAAAUACUAUUGCUAUAAGAUAUAGAAUUUGCUAUUCAUUGCAUACAUAAUAGAAGAUAACAAACUAAAUCUUAAAAUAUAACUACUUAGUUGAGUGUCAAUCUAUUAUUUAAUUCAAGAUGUGCACUUCAAUUUUUUCAAGUUGCAUAAUUCAUCUACAAUGGAGUCUGUAUUGAUAAUUUCAGCAAAGAAGACUUAACUAACCUGAUUAACAUCGAAGGCAGAACCACAAACCAAUGAUUUAAUGCAAGAAUAUUUUACUAACUUGAGAAAGCACAGACAAAGAAGGCAGCACUUUGAUUGCAGACGAGCAAGAAAAGCAAAGCAUCUUAUUUGUAAGCCCUAGCAAAAAUAUAUUGAUGGAAGAAAAUUAGAUUUGCCAAUUGAAAUUCCUUUUUUUUUUUUCUUGGGGAGUUCACAAGUUUUCUUCUUUUUUUUUUAGGUAUACUUUAAGAGAUCACUUAUAGAAAGAAAUCAAAAUCCGGUUUUCCUUCAAUCAAGAAAUAGGAAGGGCUUCUUUAUCACAGUCAAGCGACCAUAGGAGCAUGGCCUCCCAUAUGCUGGCAAGAUUCCUUUCUACGUGAUCCUUUUUGACAGAAAGAAGUCAGAUGAGGAUAGGGACCCUCACUAGUUGAAGGUAGGGGUAUAAACAAGAUUAUAAUAGAGUUUUGGAAAGCCAAGACACUGACAGCCCUUGGUGCCACCGAAGAAAGCCAACCAGGGCCUGAAUGACUCGAUUUCAGCCACUAACAAGAAUUCUAGAAUCAAAUCCAUGGACAUCGAUCAAAAAUCCGUAGGAGAUCGAAAGCGGAGGCGAGAGAAAAGAAACGAAGAGCAUGACAAGAAGUCUAAGGUUCAUCUCCGUAGACAUCGAUAAAAAAUCAACAAGAGAUCCACCUGCGGCGGGUCAAGAAAAGAAAAGAGGGGAAUGACCAGGUCUAAGAAUUAUCUCCAUGGACAUCGAUGAAAAAUCAAUAGGAGAUCCACCAGCGGAAGGUAGGGAAAAGAAAAGAAAAGAAAAGAAGAGGGCCUGAAUGACUCGAAUUCAGCUUCUACCAAGAAUUCUAGAUCUAAUCAGUAAAGGUCUGGUUGCAUCCACAAGAAGUCCAAGAUUCAUCUCCAUGGACAUCGAUCAAAAAUCCAUAGGAGAUCGACCUGCGGAGGGGCAAGAAAAGAAAAGAAAAGAAGAGGGGAAUGACAAGAAGUCUAAGAUUCAUCUUCAUUGGCAUCGAUCAAAAAUCACUAGGAGAUCAACCUGCGGAGAGGAAAGAAAAGAAAAGAAAAGAAGAGGAGCAUGACUAGAUGUCUAAGAUUCAUCUCCAUAGUCAUCGAUCAAAAAUCAAUGGGAGAUACACCUGCGGAAGGAAAAGAAAAGAAAAGAACAGGGGAAAAACAAGAGAAUCUUGAAGUUUCCAUGGAGGUACUGAGGAACACCGGAGAUCGACCCUCUCCAUUAGAGAUCCAGAGGAGAAGAGUACAAAAGCUUCCACUCACAAGCGUCGCCAGGAGCUACAAAGCCGUGACAUCCAAGAACUAAAUCAACAUGAAUGUGCAGGGCAAACCUAUUAGGGUAUUAUCUAUACACGAACAAGAUCUAAUCCGUAAAGAUCUAUUAGCUUGCUCAAGAAUUUCAAGAUUCAUCAUCAUCGAAAUCCAAGAUUAAUCCGAGAAGAAAGGAAAAAGGCAAAAUACGAGGGAAACCUUCAGCUUCGGCGGAGGAACCCUUCGAUGGCGGUGGGUAACGUCCUCGCUUCAUCCGAUCGAUCGACUCCCUUCCGCUCUCUCCUCCUCUUCAAGAUCUAGUUGGAGUUUCCUCCCCCAAGAACUCGACAGCGAGCGAGAGAAGGAAUAACCAACUGGGGCAAGACGGUUUCUUGAAUUGGACCAAAACCCAUAUAAGUAGUAGUUGGGCCAAAACGGCCGGCCCGGGUCGGGUUUUAAUGACUAAUGGUUCGGGUUGGACGGAACCAAGAUGCGGUGGGCUGAGAAUUCCAAUCUGGUAAUUUAAAUAGAUUAAUAAUUAGCUCAUUUUUUUUUAUUCGGUAAACCGACAAUAAAUGGUGCCAUUUAUUGUCGAUAAAUGGCAAGUGGCAGAAUGACUCGGAUGUGGACAUUCUUGUGUGACGGUGACUUGGCGCGAGGAGCAUUAAUGAGAUGAGCUGGUUUGCGGAAGAAGCAGGGUGUUCCCCUGCCGACAUCGAUCGAUGUGCUCUCUUUACAUUUACAUGUGAGGGCAUGUUUGCCUACAGAACGCAGAGGGUGGCCGUGUAUACCCACCACGUUCCCCCGCAUUCCUACAAACAAUUCAUCUGCACAUCCACCUCCGUGCAUAAACACCAUGCUUGGCCGUCCUCGCAUCAAGGAAUUGCCCGCUCCAACCCACGCUAGUCUGUUGUCGAGCUCCGACAACCCCCCACAACCACUCUUAUGCCUUUUCCCGCACCCACACAAAGCGCUGCGUGGUGCCCGUUUCAUCCCCUCUACGCCACCAACAAACGUACGCCGGACUGAUAAAGAUGGGGCCAAAAGCAUCAGUAAGCAAAAGGUGAUGAGGGCGGUGGGCGUGACGGGUGCGUGAGGCACAAAGCGAAAAAUGAGAGGACGUAAGUUGCCACUCCAUCAGCGCGCCUGUCGAACACCUUUCGGGCAUCCUUUAGGAAUACAAAUCUCUCAAGCAACGAAGGCAAAGAUGCAAUGGUGCUCGUUGUUUGAAGAAACCACGGCAAGGCCGUCGAGACACGGCCAUCACGUCAUCCGCCGCGUCAUCACCAUCAUCCUCACUCGUACGCCGGUUUGGGAUCUCACCGGGGCGGAAUCCCGAAGCACGCAGACCACGUGGGACGCCAGAGAACGAACCUGCUGUUGGCGCUUCGGGAACGUGGGGAUUGACGGGGCCCACGUGGAGAACCAACCAAGAGCACGGACAAGUACAUGAUGGCGAGCCUCGUGAGCCCCACGUGACGGGGAUGGCCUGCCGCGGGCGCCGAACGCCAAGUUUCCGCUAACAUGGUGCGUUGUAUUAGGCACGGAUAACCCAAGUGUAAAGAUGGGGGGGCUGUGGGAGGGAAUCUAAGCUGCACCUUCGUAGUUCUUUCGCCUGCCAGCCAAGAAGCUAUAUUAUAGUCCAUCUGAAUUCAAUAAUGUGGAAGUGGUGGACACGAGGAUGGCACUGUCAGGGGGACCAGUGGCGAUGUCUUGGAAAAGCAAGCUUUGGGAUCUCGCUGCAGCUCUAAUCGGGGCAGGCCACCGUGACAGCUCAGAAGCAAACGAACAACGUAGGUAGAUUUUGACUUCAGAUGACGAUGCUACGUAAUGUGUAGUAAAAAACGAUAAGAAAAGGAUGGUGGUGCCCGAGACGGGGAGCAUGGUCCACCUAACUGCUUCCCUCCCACCACAUGACCGCUUUUUUGAAGUGCCCAAACGAUGCGUGGUGGCCCACCCUCACACGUGCGCCACGCUCCACAAGUGGGCUGCAGGUGCACGUGCUGCCCCAACCGUGCCCGUCGUUCUCUUUUCCCGGUCCUCAAAUAUCUAUUUCCGUUCACACGCGUUCGUGACGGGCGUUUCCCUACCCGCACCGUCCUCUUUCAAUCUCUCUCGUGGUCACGUUUCCCCGGUUGUCUCCUCGAACCGACCCAGUCGAAUUAAUUUGAACUGGUAGAAAGGAAGAGAAAUAGAUGCAUGUGGGCCGUGUGAUGCGGAGGCGAACGUAGUUGGUUCUUUGCACUGCUUCACAGCCGGGGAGGUCGGGCGGGCCAAAUCGCCAGCUGUGAGGGGGGGUACACGACGUACGAGUCACGGGAAAUGCCAUCGCAAUCCAAUAUCCAUUAAUGAACUACGACAGAUAGCAACCGACGCUGCCCUGCUCGUUCGUAUAAUAAUGAAGUAUUGAUAGGCUUACUUCCAACAUGUAUCUCCCCUUGCUAAUUCUUCUAGAUGGAGAAUUAUUACUAAAUUACUCUUUAAGUGGGGGGACACCGUGUUCAUUAUAUUAAAUAACAGACGUACGUAGAUAUAAUAAAGGCGUAAGGAAGGAGCGAGGAAGGUCGGUAACAGGUGGUUUAGAAAGGAAGAGGGAGGGAGGGAGGGGUGUCGGUGUGCAGUCAAAUCUAGAGAUAGAAAAAUGGCAGUCGGUUUUUUGGCAGUUUGGAGAGCUUUCGAGUGUGUACAGGAGAAGAAAAGGAGAGGGUGGGGGGCAGUUAAAGGCUGCAUCUGACAGCUUGACAGGCUGGCCUGAACGGAUACCAUAUCUUCCCAUCGGACGAUAUAAUUCACAACAGUAACAUCAUCCAUCAACGGCGUUACUGCGUACUGAGUCGAAACGGAAAGGGACGAGUGAUACACGCGGGCAGAACUCACAACGGCGUUGUCACGGAAGGAAGGCGCUGUGAACAAGAUGGCGUUUGAGGGCGUUACGAUUCUGAUUCGAUGGGUGUACAAUUACCGUCUGAAACAUGGUGGGAAUCGCAACGAGGCAUCAUUGUCCGCACCCGUUAUGCGAUUGGAGAUCGUACGGGCCCCACGCGGCAAGCCGCUGACAAGGCACACGGUUGGUAGUGUCGUCGAGCAGACAAAGGUGGUGCCGUGGAGCAGCUAACGGAGAUGCGUGGCCACCGCCAGCUGUAUGCAAACGAAACCUGUGGGAACCGGACGAGCUCGCCAAGCGAUACCUUAACCCGGUCACCGUCGACCCUCUAUAAAAUCCCGUCUGUCUUCUUCGUGCUGCUACUGCCAUAACUCUCGCUUCCUUCAUCAGCCUCUUCUUCCUCUGGGUUUGAACAUUUGCUCUAACGUAGCAAAAUAACGGUCGAAAUAUUUGUUUAUUUCCUACGGUGGCCUAUCCUUCCCUAUUUUUCUUUGUAUUGAUAUCCUCCGGGAUUUUCGUUGGAAUCGCUUGGGGGUUUGGAUCGAUCGGUUGGAGUUUUUGAGUUGGGGGAGAUUGGAUCCGAUGGCGGCGACGACGACGACGACGGGGGGAAGCAGGAGCAAGGAGGCUGAUAGGAUCAAGGGGCCGUGGAGCCCGGCGGAGGACGAGGCGCUGCAGAGGCUGGUGCAGCGGCAUGGCCCCAGGAACUGGUCGAUCAUCAGCAAGUCCAUUCCGGGGCGCUCCGGCAAGUCGUGCCGGCUGCGAUGGUGCAACCAGCUCUCGCCCCAGGUGGAGCACCGCCCCUUCACGGAUGAGGAGGACGAGAUCAUCGUCCGCGCCCACCGCCGCUUCGGCAACAAGUGGGCCACCAUCGCCCGCCUCCUCUCCGGGCGUACCGACAACGCCAUCAAGAACCACUGGAACUCUACACUCAAGCGCAAGCACAGCCGCCCCUGCGCCGGAGAAGACGGGCUGCAGCACCACUACGACGCGAUCAUGUCGGUCAAGGCAGCGGAUAUGGAGGACGAGGCGGAAGCGACGAGACCGCUGAAGAGGGCAAGCAGCGACGGCCUGAUCCUGUUGUCGCGAGGAUCAGGGAUUUGCUUCAGCCCCGGAAGCCCGUCCGGGUCCGAUGUCAGUGAUUCCAGUCACCAUAGCUAUCCGGUGAUGCCGCCGCCGCACAUCUAUCAGCCGGUUCCGACAACUGGCCGCAUCGUGCCAUGCUCCUCUCCGAUCCUCAAACAGACUCAGGGCGAGACAAUCAGUGCUGCCGUAGCCCCUACAUUUCCCAACAACGACGACGAUCCAGCUACUUCCCUCACCCUCUCCCUUCCUGGAUCAUGUCAGAUGUCCACCUCCAAGGAUCGCAAGGUCCAUACCAUCUUCAAACCCAGUCACCAGAGCCAGCUGUCGUGCUCUGUUGCUGCUGCAGAUCCGCAGCAGAUGAUACCGGGCUUUUCCUCUGCAGCCACUUCCGCCGAGGAGGGGCGUCGGCCAGCGCCUUCUCCUUUUAGCGCCGAAUUCCUGGCGAUCAUGCAAGAGAUGAUCCGCAACGAGGUGAGGAGCUACAUGGCGGGACUGCAGCAGAGCCGCAUGAUGUGCGGCGUGCAGCCGCCAUCGGAGAGGGCCCGCAACGCCGCCGCCGUGAACCCCAUCGGAGUGACAGAUCUCGAGUAGGAGACGUUUUGGUCGCCGAGGAUUAUUAGUGAGCAAAGGAAUCGAAGAACAUCUUCGUAAGGAGAGAAGGCGGCUCCCUUCUUUGUAGUUGAAACCUUUCCUUUGCCCUGCUCGAACUCCUUCCUAAAUUUGGUUGCCUUGCUAGUGGAAAAAGAAAUUGUAUAGGAGAAAGACCACAAUGUUAAAAACACAAAAAAAAAGAGCAGUUUUGUCAUUUUGAUUUCAUUUUACUCGUUCAAAAGGGAAAAGUUGUGUGUUGAUAACAGUUAAGCGAGUUCGCGACCUGCCGCAUUCUGCGAUGGUCAUCUACUGUCUUCAUCAUGCAGUAUAUUAACAAUAAUUACAUAUUAGCGGAACUUUUGAAUUGAGAAUCUGAUCGAUUUAUUUUGUCUUAAAAAUUAAGAUUUAAUUUUUCUAUAAAUAUCUAAGUUUUGACAAAGAAAAAAAAAGUAAAAUGUGAAUAUAUAUAUAUAUAUAUAUAUAUAUAUAUGUCUUAAUAAAUAAAUUAAAAAAGGUGAUGGUGAUUGAGCCACACGUGAUCAACGAAGAAUAGUGCCACAUCUCUAUGGGAUAAAAAGAAUUGAAUCACACAUAUGGGAGAUAACUUAAAAGUCGUAUUUUAGCGCUGAUCUAUGUCAGAUACGCAAACAUCAUUAGAUAAAAACAUGCUAGAUUUGAACUUUGCCAUAGAAGAAAUGAAAUCCUAUCCCUAUUAAGCGGUAUUACCAGCAAAAAGCUUAAAUGAUAGAUAAGAGUAGAUGUAGGCAGAUGAAGCAAUCAGUUUGGUAUUGACUGCGGAUGGACCGAUGCACCAGUGCGGUAUUAAUAGAAGACAGUGAUAUUGGCGCGGCUCAAUCUGAGAAGGGUUUACCAUCGUAUCAUAAGUAAAUCCAAUCAUCAGAUUCAACCUCACCAAUACCACUUCCUUCAUCCACCGAGUCACCAACACUACUGACUGCGAUCACAACCAAUGAAGAAAGCAGAAGAUACAUGCCACGAUUGGGCUCAGCUGCAGCUGGAGGAGGUAGGAGAGGCCUGUGAAUCAAGAGGGCUCGACCAUGGAAGGAGACGACAGAAGGUUGUGAAGCAAUAUGGAAGGAGAGGGGAGAGCGCAUGAAAUAGUGAGGGAGGUGUCUCGGGAUUCUUAAGAAGGAAGUGCGAGGGGAAUGAUGCGAGUUCACCCAAUUCAACGCAGGAAGAUGUGUGCACGCUUGAUGUAUCUUUCUUGCGCAUGCAUGCCCGCCUGCAACAUUCGACGUACUCCAUUCGUUCAACUCUUCUUCCAACGUAGAGGGACGAGUACCACCGCGUAGUACACAGAGUGAGUUAUCGUCUCUCAUUCUUUUCUUACGCUCACGACGGAGGACAACGGCGUCAAAGUGGUUCUGCCAUGACACCGACAACACGCGGGGACACCCGCCGUUGGGCUGCUCAACCUCGCUGCUGCUUCUCCCUUUCGACCGCGCAUCAUCAUUAACUGGUUCGUCUUCAACAGUCCAAGAUACUUGGUGGAGAGGAUGAGUGUGUCAGGCAAAAGGUGGGACUCCUCGAGUUCCUCCUCGCUCUCUCCUACACCAAAAGCUGAUGCACCACCUUGGCGUGAAAGCGAGUUAAGGGAUAAAGGUUUAGAAUCCCAUGUUUGCAAUCAUGGCACACACGACGACUAAGCUGUAGGAAUCGACCUGUUCUUGAGCUCAAAUCGUUGUUGAUAUUAAAUCAGUGCAAUAGAUCGAGAAGAACAGGGUGAAUAAGGAGGCAUCCAGAUACAUUGUUAUUAUUUCUCAGUGACCCAACACGAUCAGCUCCUGGUCGAAUACAUGGAACAUAUCCGGGCCGCCCUCAUCCGCGUUCGCAUCGUGGUUGGAAGCUAAGGCGUCGGCGGGCCUUGCCGUUGCUUGGCUCACUGGUACGUGGAAGUCUGUGCUCUUGAUGGUGAGUCCGUCCGCCCCCACCGCCACGACGUCGCCCGCGGCCGAUCUCAUCAGCAGCAUGCAUGCAAGUAUUGCGAGGAUAGCCAUCGCCCGGAGGGAGGCCAUCGUUGUCGUCGCGGGUGGUCGCCGGUUGACAACAAGAAGAAGAAAGGCCGUGAGAGGGAAGGGAGGGGACGAAGCCAUUUUAAUGAGAGAGGGAGGGAAGCAGACCGACGACGGUUUCGGCCAUUCGAGGAAACGGGUGGCUGCAGU
Molecule: long non-coding RNA, 33018 nt
Filed under: Musa acuminata (dwarf banana)
Lineage: Eukaryota; Viridiplantae; Streptophyta; Magnoliopsida; Zingiberales; Musaceae
Description: long non-coding RNA (MACU_LNC001813)
Source: RNAcentral